RNAcentral lists this long non-coding RNA (2023 nucleotides) under Homo sapiens (human). RNAcentral's name for it is "non-protein coding lnc-TSEN2-3:1". The record is from RNAcentral. Lineage: Eukaryota; Metazoa; Chordata; Mammalia; Primates; Hominidae.
AAAUGAAGAUUGGGUUGGAAUGUUGAGAAGGGAUCACUUCUGUUUAAGUGUUUAGUCAUGUUUGUUGGGGACUUACAAUGUGCUGCGGCUCUUAGGUACUGUAGUGUAUAAUCCAGCAACCAGCGCUCUUCCACAGAUCGUAAAACUGAGCCUCAGCAUUGAAGCGACUUGCCUAAGGUCAUUUAGCUUCCAAGUGACAGAGGUGUGAAAUCAAAGUUCAUGCCCUCAUAGACUGUAGGGCCUCCAGAUAAGUUUUGAAAUGCUAAAUUAAAAUUUAUUUAUUGCAGGACUUAUCAAAGCUUUUAAUGUGUUCCCAUGAAAGGAAACUCAUACAAGGAUAUGUAAAACUGCAAAGAAGUUUACUCACAAAAGGGUGUAAAGGAGUCAGGGCUCCCGAUGACUGCCUUGCCAAAUAAAAAACAUAACAGGUGUUUUAAGUGGGAAAAAACCAAUAUGACCAAGAGUACCAAGUUUACAUUAGUGUGUUUAUCUACCAUCAACUUUUCUACCAGCUUAUCUACCAAAAGCUUUUCUCACUUUAUUAUCUCAUUAACAAAAGCCUUGUCUCUAGACAUUGAUAAUUUAUAGGAAAUGUUCAAGGUAUGAUUUAUUUUGGGGACCAGAUCUAAGCAGCGUGUGCGGUUUUUUGUGGGUUUUGUUUGUUUUUUUGUUUUUUUUAAUCUCAGGUCACAAAGUUUUAGGUUUGUUUUCCUGACUGUGGGAUGUGAUGUACAUGUUUAUUUUGAAUGACAGCAGAAUAAUGUCAGUUUUGCUUCCAAUCUGUUAGAUAUUAUGUAUCUCCAAGAGUUGCUUAUCAAAUGCUAGGAGUCUCAAACCUAAUGACAAAGACACUCCAUGUUUUUAUUGCCUGGAGUGGUAAAAAUGACUGCUCGUACAGUUAUGCUGUCAGUCAGCUCUUCUGAUUCCUUGACAUGCCGCUCUAUCCAGAAUCUCAAUCUGUGCCUUUUUGCUGAUUCCCCUCCCCCACAACCAUCUCCCUGUCUUCCAGUCUGUUUUCGGAGCCCUGGGGGAGGCCCUUAUUAUAGCUUAGUAACCAGUUUAUUUCACCUUCUCCUCUUGUGAUAGAGCUUCCCUGCAUCUCAUAAUCACUAUUAGAAGACACAGGAUUUCAUUGUCCUAAGAUAGUCAAACCUAGGGGGCUUUUGAUUCUUUGAAAGUCACAAAACAUGGGGGAUCUUUUCAGCUGGCAGGUGGUAGGAAGAGUUUGAGCCCCAGGGUUGGGCAGUUCUGGAUUCUAAUCCUGGUACCACCUGUGCAACAACUGCCUCAUCUGUGAAAUGAGGAUGGUAAUGCCUAACCGGCAGGGCUGUUUAAAAAUUAAAUAAUAGCAACAAACCAUUUAUUUUGUAUUAGGAUGAGCACUUACAUGCAUUUUCUCAGUUAAAUGUCCCAGUAGUCUAUCAUAGCAGUCUAUGAAGUAAGUGCAGUUAUUAUAAUCACAUUACAGAUGGGGAAACUGAGGCUCAGUGACUUAAAUAACUUGCUUAAGCUCACAUAGCAAGCAGUCUGACUUCAGUGUCUUCACCACCACACUGUACUUCAUUUCAUUCCCGCCUCUAAUCAGUACAUUUAUUGCAAGCCUGCCACAGUGCCUACCAUUUGCUUCCUUCCCCCUCAGUGGAUCUGCUGUCACAAGGAGUAUAGCCGUAAAAUUUUAGCCUGUGAAAAUAUGUAGGAAAAUGUAAAAAAAAAAAAAAAAAAAGACACUGAGGAUGCAAAUUACCUGUAUACUUGGAAGUGAUUUGCAAAAGCGUUUUGCUAAACAGGCAACAUUCAAGGGCCUGUAAGAAACCAGAUUGAUUGUUUUGCUUAGCACUGCUGCUGCUGGAGCUGCUGGUGGUUCUGUGGCCAGCAGUGAACCUGAUAUGCUCUGCAGUGUAUAAUAGCCAUACUGUCUGAAACAGUCUUUUGGGUUUACCCAGGGUAACACCCCUUUGGAGUGUCCCCCAGAAAGAACCUACCUGCUCUGAGUCUCCAGCUAUGCACUUCACCCACCUAGUCG